Molecule: transfer RNA, 84 nt
Filed under: Myxococcales bacterium
Lineage: Bacteria; Pseudomonadati; Myxococcota; Myxococcia; Myxococcales
Description: tRNA-Leu
Rfam family: tRNA
About the family: Transfer RNA (tRNA) molecules are approximately 80 nucleotides in length. Their secondary structure includes four short double-helical elements and three loops (D, anti-codon, and T loops).
Source: RNAcentral
GCCGAAGUGGUGAAAUCGGUAGACACGCUGGACUCAAAAUCCAGUUACCGCAAGGUAGUGUGGGUUCGAGUCCCACCUUCGGCA